This 460-nucleotide ribosomal RNA is filed under the name uncultured bacterium. RNAcentral describes it as "partial 16S ribosomal RNA". It matches the Rfam family "Bacterial small subunit ribosomal RNA", at positions 338 to 795 of the family's 1533-position model. The record is from RNAcentral.
CCUACGGGUGGCAGCAGUGAGGAAUAUUGGUCAAUGGGCGCAAGCCUGAACCAGCCAAGUCGCGUGAAGGAAGAAGGCCCUACGGGUUGUAAACUUCUUUUGUCGGGGAGUAAGGGGAGGGACGUGUCCCUUUUUGUAUGUACUUUAUGAAUAAAGCACGGCUAACCCCGUUCCAGCAGCCCCGGUAAUACGGAGGGGCCGAGCGUUAGUCGGAUUUAUUGGGGUUAAAGGGAGCGUAGAGGGGUUGUUAAGUCAGUUAUGAAAGUUUGCGGCUCAACCGUAAAAGUGCCAGUGAUACUGGCAGCCUUGAGUGCAGUUGAGGUAGGCGGAAUGCGUGGUGUAGCGGUGAAAUGCUUAGAUAUCACGAAGAACUCCGAUUGCGAAGGCAGCCUACUGGACUGCCACUGACGUUGAGGCUCGAAAGUGUGGGGAUCAAACAGGAUUAGAUACCCUUGUAGUC